Molecule: transfer RNA, 24 nt
Filed under: Dendrobium rotundatum
Lineage: Eukaryota; Viridiplantae; Streptophyta; Magnoliopsida; Asparagales; Orchidaceae
Description: partial tRNA-His
Source: RNAcentral
GCGGAUGUAGCCAAGUGGCUCAAG